Long non-coding RNA from Colias croceus (clouded yellow), 622 nucleotides. RefSeq lists it as uncharacterized. The record is from RefSeq and is a predicted model, not a curated record. The transcript is spliced from 3 exons. Lineage: Eukaryota; Metazoa; Arthropoda; Insecta; Lepidoptera; Pieridae.
UUUAAAAAUAUGUGAUUUCUGAACGGCAUCAUAAUUAUUUAAAAUACCUAGAUUUUUAUGUAGUGAUUCCGAGAUUCUUUUUUAUUUUAAACACAAACCAUCAUCAGGAAUGGUUACCAAAUUGGUCACCAAGACUUUUUAUUAUUUAUUAUUUUUACUUUCGUUAAAACUACCUUACUUUUAUUAAAUUUAAAAUUUAUUAUUAGUCGGAAGGUAGACACGUUUGGUUUCCUGACCAGGAAUUCAAAUUUAGAAACCAUAGCCCCUCUGAAUGUCGCUAACAUUUCAACAAUGCGGGAGAGCGUUCAGAUAUCGGAAUCUGAAUUUCUGACUGUAAACCAAAUAUGUGUGGCCGGCCUGUGGUCUUAAUUUGUAAUAAUAAUUAUUAAUAUUGAACAAAAAGUAUAGAAUGCAGUACUUAUCGUACCUACCAUCGCAUUCGUUGCUAUGUGAGAAUAAACCACGCCUUUAUCAAUCUUAGUUUAUGGCGGAAACAAGAAAGGCACUAACUAGAUGAAUACGUUGAUGAUAAUAUGACUAAUUGGAUCUGAAUGAUGUGGAUAUUGGAUGUAGUCGCAUUUGAAUAAAAGUUCUGAAGUCCAAUGGAAGAAUAGACUCAGGA